GUAACAACUCACCUGCCGAAUGAACUAGCCCUGAAAAUGGAUGGCGCUGAAGCGGGUCACUUAUACUCGACCGUUAAGGCAAGAGCUAAGCCUUAACGAGUAGGAGGGCGUCACGGUUGUUGUGCAGCUUGCGGCGUAAGCCGGAGUGAACCGGCCGUCAGCGCAGCUCUUGGUGGUAGUAGCAAAUAUUUAAAUGAGGACUUUGAAGACUGACGUGGGGA
RNAcentral lists this ribosomal RNA (221 nucleotides) under Climacostomum virens. RNAcentral's name for it is "partial Eukaryotic large subunit ribosomal RNA". It matches the Rfam family "Eukaryotic large subunit ribosomal RNA", at positions 1282 to 1502 of the family's 3401-position model. The record is from RNAcentral. Lineage: Eukaryota; Ciliophora; Heterotrichea; Heterotrichida; Climacostomidae.